Molecule: transfer RNA, 83 nt
Filed under: Eutypa lata UCREL1
Lineage: Eukaryota; Fungi; Ascomycota; Sordariomycetes; Xylariales; Diatrypaceae
Description: tRNA-Leu (CAG) (tRNA-Leu-CAG-1-1)
Rfam family: tRNA
About the family: Transfer RNA (tRNA) molecules are approximately 80 nucleotides in length. Their secondary structure includes four short double-helical elements and three loops (D, anti-codon, and T loops). Further hydrogen bonds mediate the characteristic L-shaped molecular structure. tRNAs have two regions of fundamental functional importance: the anti-codon, which is responsible for specific mRNA codon recognition, and the 3' end, to which the tRNAs corresponding amino acid is attached (by aminoacyl-tRNA synthetases). tRNAs cope with the degeneracy of the genetic code in two manners: having more than one tRNA (with a specific anti-codon) for a particular amino acid; and 'wobble' base-pairing, i.e. permitting non-standard base-pairing at the 3rd anti-codon position.
Source: RNAcentral
AGUCAGAUGCCCGAGUUGGUCCAAGGGGUAUGACUCAGGUUCAUAUAGCGCAAGCUGCGUGGGUUCGAAUCCCACUCUGACUA